This 327-nucleotide ribosomal RNA is filed under the name uncultured eukaryote. RNAcentral's name for it is "partial 18S ribosomal RNA". It matches the Rfam family "Eukaryotic small subunit ribosomal RNA", at positions 1470 to 1796 of the family's 1831-position model. The record is from RNAcentral.
CCCUUAGAUGUUCUGGGCCGCACACGCGCUACACUGAAGGAGGCAGCGUGUACUCCUGGAUCGAAAGAUUUGGGUAACCCGCGAAUCUCCUUCGUGCUAGGGAUUGAGGUUUGCAAUUAUCCUUCAUGAACGAGGAAUUCCCAGUAAGUGCAAGUCAUAAGCUUGCGCUGACUACGUCCCUGCCCUUUGUACACACCGCCCGUCGCUACUACCGAUUGAAUGAUUUAGUGAGUACUUCGGACUGGGACCGAUGCGGCUUUCGGGCUGCGUCGGUAUUCUGGAAAGAUGUCCAAACUGUAUCAUUUAGAGGAAGUAAAAGUCGUAACA